GGUCUCAUAGCUCAGCUGGAUAGAGCGUUGCCCUCCGGAGGCAAAGGUCGAAGGUUCGAAUCCUUCUGAGACCACCA
This 77-nucleotide transfer RNA is filed under the name Oligoflexia bacterium. RNAcentral describes it as "tRNA-Arg". It matches the Rfam family "tRNA". Rfam says of the family: Transfer RNA (tRNA) molecules are approximately 80 nucleotides in length. Lineage: Bacteria; Pseudomonadati; Bdellovibrionota; Oligoflexia. The record is from RNAcentral.